RNAcentral lists this ribosomal RNA (784 nucleotides) under uncultured Lysinimonas sp. Its description in RNAcentral is "bacterial SSU rRNA". It matches the Rfam family "Bacterial small subunit ribosomal RNA", at positions 1 to 797 of the family's 1533-position model. The record is from RNAcentral. Lineage: Bacteria; Bacillati; Actinomycetota; Actinomycetes; Micrococcales; Microbacteriaceae.
AGUGAUUAGAGUUUGAUCCUGGCUCAGGACGAACGCUGGCGGCGUGCUUAACACAUGCAAGUCGAACGGUGAAGAGAAGCUUGCUUCUUGGAUCAGUGGCGAACGGGUGAGUAACACGUGAGCAAUCUGCCCUUGACUCUGGGAUAAGCGUUGGAAACGACGUCUAAUACCGGAUACGACCCUCGGAGGCAUCUCCUGGGGGUGGAAAGAAUUUUGGUCAAGGAUGAGCUCGCGGCCUAUCAGCUAGUUGGUGAGGUAAUGGCUCACCAAGGCGACGACGGGUAGCCGGCCUGAGAGGGUGACCGGCCACACUGGGACUGAGACACGGCCCAGACUCCUACGGGAGGCAGCAGUGGGGAAUAUUGCACAAUGGGCGAAAGCCUGAUGCAGCAACGCCGCGUGAGGGACGAAGGCCUUCGGGUUGUAAACCUCUUUUAGUAGGGAAGAAGCGAAAGUGACGGUACCUGCAGAAAAAGCACCGGCUAACUACGUGCCAGCAGCCGCGGUAAUACGUAGGGUGCAAGCGUUGUCCGGAAUUAUUGGGCGUAAAGAGCUCGUAGGCGGUUUGUCGCGUCUGCUGUGAAAACCCGAGGCUCAACCUCGGGCCUGCAGUGGGUACGGGCAGACUAGAGUGCGGUAGGGGAGAUUGGAAUUCCUGGUGUAGCGGUGGAAUGCGCAGAUAUCAGGAGGAACACCAAUGGCGAAGGCAGAUCUCUGGGCCGUAACUGACGCUGAGGAGCGAAAGCAUGGGGAGCGAACAGGAUUAGAUACCCUGGUAGAAUCG